GAGGGUAUAGCUCACGUGGUAGAGCGCAUGCUUAGCAUGCACAAGGUCCUGGGUUCAAUCCCCAGUAUCUCCU
Molecule: transfer RNA, 73 nt
Filed under: Camelus bactrianus (Bactrian camel)
Lineage: Eukaryota; Metazoa; Chordata; Mammalia; Artiodactyla; Camelidae
Also listed under: 1 other name
Rfam family: tRNA
About the family: Transfer RNA (tRNA) molecules are approximately 80 nucleotides in length.
Source: Rfam by way of RNAcentral